CAUCUGGGUUCUCCUUCUGGAUCAAAGAGAAGUGUGGGUUGGGACUGAGGUAGUACUGCUGCAGGGAAUUGACACCUACAUCUGAAUCUUGCGCGGGUUCCAGGGCAAAGGAGGCUCCAAUUACGGCCAGUUCACUGAUUUCCAAUUCAGUGAUAUUUUGGCUAAAGGUUGGUGGAUUGUCAUUGACAUCCUGAAUUACCACACUUACAUGAAAGAAGUUCAAAGGCUUUUCGGCCACCAAUUCGAAUUCUAGAACACAUGUCGACUUCUCGCCACAAAUCUGCUCUCGGUCUAUACGGUCACUAACAAAUAUCAGAGGAGGCUCGCUUUUCCCACAGCUCUCCUGACUGAUGAGUGUGUCUGCAUAGUUGGGCUGGGGGAAGAUCAUGUGACUGUUCCGGGAGUCUGCUGUGAGGGAGACCUCGUGGGAAUAAGUCUGCAGGAAAGCUCGCACCCCGUCCACACCCACAAAGUGCGAGGUGGGCAUGCCAGCCAACCUGCUUCCUGAUGCCUGGAGCUGACUUGAAGAGUGCCAGCAUCUCAGCCUGAGUGCCAGUAGCACGAUGACAAAGGGCAAGUUCCUGGGGAUAGAACACACAAUCUCACCAUUCUCUACAGAAUCACCAUCAUGUACACUAAACAGUGCAAUUACAGUUCCAGGAGGACAGUCUUCAGAGACGGAACUAGCAAGGGAUGUGAGGAUCACUUCUGGGACAUUGUCAUUCACAUCCUGCACUGUCACCAAUACCUUAGCACUGGCAAGAAGAGCACCUCCAUCCUGAGCUACCACUUCCAUGAGGUAGAAUCUGGAUUCCUCAUAAUCCAGUGAUUGCAGAGUUGAGAUUUCACCCAGGCUGGAAUCAAGUUGGAAAGUCUCUGAAAUCUUAUCUUCUUCAUUGCGAAAAGAGUAUGUUAAUUCCCCGUUUACUCCCUCAUCUGGAUCCGUGGCGGUUAGUGUAAGCAGCCGAGAGCCUACAGGUAUGUUCUCUGGAACAGUCACUCUGUACUCAGAUUGAGUGAAGAGAGGCGCAUUAUCAUUUGCGUCGAGGACCACCACGUGUAUGUGCAUACUACUAGAGAGUAUGGGGUCUCCACCAUCUAAAGCUGUGAGAAGAAGGUCGUGGACAGCUACUUUCUCGCGGUCCAAGGGCCGUUCCAGUACCAGCUCCGGAUAUUUUUGUCCAUCAGUUCCGCUUUUCUGCUCCAGAGAGAAGUGCAUAUUGGGGCUGAGCUUAUAACUCUGGAGAGAGUUCAUACUCACAUCCGCGUCUCGAGCGAAAGGAAGCGCUAACCGAGUUCCCAUAGCCGCAUUUUCAUUAACUUUUACUUUUACUUCCUCAUCCCGGAAACGUGGAAAGUUAUCAUUAAUAUCUAUUAUUUCUAUUUCUACUCCAUAAAUUUUCAUGUUAUUCUCAAGCAAGAUGUUAAAACUCACCACACACCGUGCGCUCUGAGCACAGAGCUCCUCCCGGUCUAUCCUGCCUGCGGUGACCAAACUGCCGCUUCGCGGGUUCAGAGAAAAGAGCCGCGUCCUACCUCUGGAGACGAUGCGGACGCCACGCUCCGCCAGCUCCCGGGGCUCCAGACCCAGGUCCUUGGCGAUGCUGCCCACGAAGGAGCCUUUGUCCAGCUCCUCCAGCACCGAGUAGCGGAUCGGCCCGGCUCCAGCUCUCCAUAACGUCUCCAGGAGCAGGAGGAGCAGAAGCGGCUCUAUGCAGCCCCAACGCCUCAGUGUAUCCGCCAUUUCCUUCUCUCCGACCAGUUUCCUUAGUCCUGAUUCCAGCCUGCUGUACCCUUAUUUCUUUCAAGUCAAAGGAAACACAUUACUUGACAGAAACGCGAGGCUUUUCCCCAAAUUUCUCUGGUCUGUGUUUGUUUAGGGCGGAAGGAGCAGAGUCAGGUCGCCGUCAGCGGACAGCUUUUCCACUUUGGUGAACAGCGACGCUCAGAGUCCUAACCAGUUACUACACCAAUUCUGUUUUUAUUUCAUAAAUGUUUAAUUAUAUUUUAUUUCUAAUAAUUUUGCUGUAUUCUUAACCUAUUGACAAGUGACAUUACUCAUAUCUAAGAUUUAAUUCUGAAAUAUCAAAGGACUUCCACAAACCUUGAGAUCAAUAUAAUUAUUACAUUUUUAUUUCUUUAGAAAAGUUUUA
This is a long non-coding RNA of Acinonyx jubatus (cheetah), 2153 nucleotides long. RefSeq lists it as uncharacterized. The transcript is spliced from 3 exons. The record is from RefSeq and is a predicted model, not a curated record. NCBI's taxonomy places the organism in Eukaryota, Metazoa, Chordata, Mammalia, Carnivora, Felidae.